UACGUAGGGUGCAAGCGUUGUCCGGAUUUAUUGGGCGUAAAGAGCUCGUAGGCGGUUCGGUAAGUCGGAUGUGAAAACUUUGGGCUCAACCCAAAGCGUGCAUUCGAUACUGCCAUGACUAGAGUUCGGUAGGGGAGUGGGGAAUUCCCAGUGUAGCGGUGAAAUGCGUAGAUAUUGGGAGGAACACCAGUGGCGAAGGCGGCUCACUGGAUAGGCACUGACACUCAACAACGAAAGCGUGGGGAGCAAACAGG
Molecule: ribosomal RNA, 254 nt
Filed under: uncultured bacterium
Lineage: Bacteria
Description: partial 16S ribosomal RNA
Rfam family: Bacterial small subunit ribosomal RNA
Source: RNAcentral